This 29-nucleotide non-coding RNA is filed under the name Mus musculus (house mouse). Lineage: Eukaryota; Metazoa; Chordata; Mammalia; Rodentia; Muridae. The record is from RNAcentral. RNAcentral also lists the same sequence under 1 other name.
UAGGAACGGUUGGGUCUAGCAGGACCUUC